CCUACGGGACGCAGCAGUGAGGAAUAUUGGUCAAUGGCCGGAAGGCUGAACCAGCCAAGCCGCGUGAAGGACGAAGGUGCCAAGCAUUGUAAACUUCUUUUGUCAAGGGACAAAAUCAGGCUCGAGAGCCUGACCGAGGGUACUUGAAGAAAAAGCAUCGGCUAACUCCGUGCCAGCAGCCGCGGUAAUACGGAGGAUGCGAGCGUUAUCCGGAUUUAUUGGGUUUAAAGGGUGCGUAGGCGGUCCGUUAAGUCAGCGGUAAAAUUGCGGGGCUCAACCCUGUCGAGCCGUUGAAACUGGCAGAC
This 305-nucleotide ribosomal RNA is filed under the name uncultured bacterium. RNAcentral describes it as "bacterial SSU rRNA". It matches the Rfam family "Bacterial small subunit ribosomal RNA", at positions 338 to 641 of the family's 1533-position model. The record is from RNAcentral.